AAAUUGAAGAGUUUGAUCAUGGCUCAGAUUGAACGCUGGCGGCAGGCCUAACACAUGCAAGUCGAACGGUAACAGGAAGAAGCUUGCUUCUUUGCUGACGAGUGGCGGACGGGUGAGUAAUGUCUGGGAAACUGCCUGAUGGAGGGGGAUAACUACUGGAAACGGUAGCUAAUACCGCAUAACGUCGCAAGACCAAAGAGGGGGAGCUUCGGGCCUCUUGCCAUCGGAUGUGCCCAGAUGGGAUUAGCUAGUAGGUGGGGUAACGGCUCA
This 270-nucleotide ribosomal RNA is filed under the name Escherichia coli. RNAcentral describes it as "partial 16S ribosomal RNA". It matches the Rfam family "Bacterial small subunit ribosomal RNA", at positions 1 to 267 of the family's 1533-position model. Lineage: Bacteria; Pseudomonadati; Pseudomonadota; Gammaproteobacteria; Enterobacterales; Enterobacteriaceae. The record is from RNAcentral.